Molecule: ribosomal RNA, 504 nt
Filed under: uncultured bacterium
Lineage: Bacteria
Description: partial 16S ribosomal RNA
Rfam family: Bacterial small subunit ribosomal RNA
Source: RNAcentral
AUUGAACGCUGGCGGCAGGCCUAACACAUGCAAGUCGAACGGUAGCACAGAGAGCUUGCUCUCGGGUGACGAGUGGCGGACGGGUGAGUAACGUCUGGGAAACUGCCCGAUGGAGGGGGAUAACUACUGGAAACGGUAGCUAAUACCGCAUAACGUCGCAAGACCAAAGUGGGGGACCUUCGGGCCUCACACCAUCGGAUGUGCCCAGAUGGGAUUAGCUAGUAGGUGGGGUAAUGGCUCACCUAGGCGACGAUCCCUAGCUGGUCUGAGAGGAUGACCAGCCACACUGGAACUGAGACACGGUCCAGACUCCUACGGGAGGCAGCAGCGGGGAAUAUUGCACAAUGGGCGCAAGCCUGAUGCAGCCAUGCCGCGUGUAUGAAGAAGGCCUUCGGGUUGUAAAGUACUUUCAGCGGGGAGGAAGGCGGUGAAGUUAAUAACCUCACCGAUUGACGUUACCCGCAGAAGAAGCACCGGCUAACUCCGUGCCAGCCGCCGCCGUAA